UUGGAGGGCAAGUCUGGUGCCAGCAGCCGCGGUAAUUCCAGCUCCAAUAGCGUAUAUUAAAGUUGUUGCAGUUAAAAAGCUCGUAGUUGAAUUUCGGGGUUCUACCGUUGGUCGGGCUAUUGUCUGUACUGGCGUGUAGAAUUUCUACCUUCUGGGGAACUAUCAUGUUAUUAAUUUAGCGUGGUAGGAAACCAGGACCUUUACCUUGAAAAAAUUAGAGUGUUCAAAGCAGGCUUAUGUCUGAAUACAUUAGCAUGGAAUAAUAAAAUAGGACGGUGGUCCUGUUUUGUUGGUCUCUGAAUCACCGUAAUGAUUAAUAGGGAUAGUUGGGGGCAUUAGUAUUCAAUUGUCAGAGGUGAAAUUCUUGGAUUUAUUGAAGACUAACUACUGCGAAAGCAUUUGCCAAGGAUGUUUUCAUUAAUCAAGAACGAAAGUUAGGGGAUCGAAGACGAUCAGAUACCGUCGUAGUCUUAACCAUAAACUAUGCCGACUAGGGAUCGGACGAUGUUAACUUUUCUUGACUCGUUCGGCGCCUUACGGGAAA
RNAcentral lists this ribosomal RNA (544 nucleotides) under uncultured Glomeromycotina. RNAcentral describes it as "SSU rRNA". It matches the Rfam family "Eukaryotic small subunit ribosomal RNA", at positions 548 to 1097 of the family's 1831-position model. Lineage: Eukaryota; Fungi; Glomeromycota. The record is from RNAcentral.